This 253-nucleotide ribosomal RNA is filed under the name uncultured bacterium. Its description in RNAcentral is "partial 16S ribosomal RNA". It matches the Rfam family "Bacterial small subunit ribosomal RNA", at positions 524 to 776 of the family's 1533-position model. The record is from RNAcentral.
UACGGAGGGUGCAAGCGUUAUCCGGAUUUAUAGGGUUUAAAGGGUCCGUAGGCGGAUCUGUAAGUCAGUGGUGAAAUCUCACAGCUUAACUGUGAAACUGCCAUUGAUACUGCAGGUCUUGAGUGUUAUUGAAGUAGCUGGAAUAAGUAGUGUAGCGGUGAAAUGCAUAGAUAUUACUUAGAACACCAAUUGCGAAGGCAGGUUACUAAGCAACAACUGACGCUGAUGGACGAAAGCGUGGGGAGCGAACAGG